RNAcentral lists this ribosomal RNA (200 nucleotides) under uncultured eukaryote. Its description in RNAcentral is "partial 18S ribosomal RNA". It matches the Rfam family "Eukaryotic small subunit ribosomal RNA", at positions 586 to 790 of the family's 1831-position model. The record is from RNAcentral.
CAGCUCCAAUAGCGUAUAUUAAAGUUGUUGCGGUUAAAAAGCUCGUAGUUGGAUUUCUGCUGAGGACGACCGGUCCGCCACUGGGUGAGUAUCUGGCUCGGCUUGGCAUCUUCUUGGAGAACGUAUCUGCACUUCAUUGUGUGGUGCGGUAACCAGGACUUUUACUUUGAGGAAAUUAGAGUGUUUCAAGCAGGCACACG